CUAUAAUCCAAAUAAUCUCUCCAGCCACCUUCUCUCCUCUUCCUUCAUCUCCACGAAAAAAAAUCCCAGCAACCUGCAAGUCUCACGGAACACCUCUCCCUCAAAACCUCACUUGUUCCAACGUCCCAAAAACUCAAGAUCUCUCUCCGAAAAUCUCCCUUCGUUCCCCAGAAGCUAGCCUCCUUCUUGCCCAGUCUGUUCUCGCUUGGCCCUUCGUGGGAUCCUCCUUUCGGCCUCAUCCUAUCCUGCAAGGGGAGUGGCCAACCGUUUACAGAGAAGAAGACGCGGGAUGAAGGAGAGAAUGCUCGGGAAAUGGAACGAUGCGGAUGUACAGUACUUCAACAAAUAUGGAGAAUUCCUGUACAGACCGGAAACGAAGAUCGCAUAAUGGGGAACGGGAUGGAGAUGGAUUUUUGAGCAAAACCCUAAAUUAUUCCCUAAAUUAUAGGGAAAAAUAGAAGAUGCAGACCCGGAUGGGGAUGCUCUUAGGUUAAGAA
Long non-coding RNA from Carya illinoinensis, 497 nucleotides. RefSeq lists it as uncharacterized. The record is from RefSeq and is a predicted model, not a curated record. NCBI's taxonomy places the organism in Eukaryota, Viridiplantae, Streptophyta, Magnoliopsida, Fagales, Juglandaceae. The transcript is spliced from 2 exons.